This 31-nucleotide non-coding RNA is filed under the name Homo sapiens (human). The record is from RNAcentral. Lineage: Eukaryota; Metazoa; Chordata; Mammalia; Primates; Hominidae.
UGAGGGCUGAUCUGCUAAGAUAAUCAAUUGC